CAUAGGCUUGGUCCCGGCCUUUCUAUUAGUUACCAGCAAAACUACACAUGCAAGUAUCCGCCCCCCAGUGAGAAUGCCCUACAAAACACCCAGUGACUGUAAGGAGCGGGUAUCAAGCACGCCCUUAAGGCAGCUCAUGACACCUUGCUUAGCCACGCCCCCACGGGAAACAGCAGUGAUAAAAAUUAAGCAAUAAACGAAAGUUUGACUAAGUUAUGCUAUUAAGAGUUGGUAAAUUUCGUGCCAGCCACCGCGGUCAUACGACUAACUCUAAUUAAUAGACAUACGGCGUAAAGCGUGUUUAAGAUUACUCUUUUCGAUAAAGCCGAACCCUAGCUAAGCUGUAAAAAGCCCUAGCUACUGGAAGAUCCACUACGAAAGUGACUUUAAAGCAGCUGAAGACACGACAGCUGAGACCCAAACUGGGAUUAGAUACCCCACUAUGCUCAGCCUUAAACCCAAAAAAUUAGCACAACAAAAAUUUUCGCCAGAGUACUACCAGCCAAAGCUUAAAACUCAAAGGACUUGGCGGUGCUUCAUAUCCCUCUAGAGGAGCCUGUUCUAUAAUCGAUAAACCCCGAUAAACCCCACCAACCCUCGCUAAUUCAGCCUAUAUACCGCCAUCUCCAGCAAACCCUAAAAAGGAACCACAGUAAGCUCAAUCAUGACACAUAAAGACGUUAGGUCAAGGUGUAGCCUAUGGGUUGGAAAGUAAUGGGCUACAUUCCCUAGCACCUAGGUUAUUCCCAUACGAAAACCUCUAUGAAAUUAGAGGUCAAAGGUGGAUUUAGCAGUAAAUCAAGAAUAGAGCGCUUGAUUGAACAAGGCCCUGAAGCACGCACACACCGCCCGUCACCCUCCUCAAAUACCAACGGUGAGCCCUCAACCCUAUUAACAAAACACCAUAACUACUAGAGGAGACAAGUCGUAACAAGGUAAGCGUACUGGAAAGUGCGCUUGGACAACC
This 967-nucleotide non-coding RNA is filed under the name Lampronycteris brachyotis. Its description in RNAcentral is "Micronycteris brachyotis 12S ribosomal RNA". It matches the Rfam family "Bacterial small subunit ribosomal RNA". Lineage: Eukaryota; Metazoa; Chordata; Mammalia; Chiroptera; Phyllostomidae. The record is from RNAcentral.